AGUGAAUCCCUAGUGGCCAGAGGGCUUAUGAUAUAUUGUGAGAGCCAUGUCAUAAGCCCUUUGGCCACUAGGGAUUCAGU
MicroRNA precursor from Chlorocebus sabaeus (green monkey), 80 nucleotides. The record is from Ensembl. NCBI's taxonomy places the organism in Eukaryota, Metazoa, Chordata, Mammalia, Primates, Cercopithecidae.